This 3114-nucleotide long non-coding RNA is filed under the name Taeniopygia guttata (zebra finch). RNAcentral's name for it is "lncRNA (ENSTGUG00000029294.1)". The record is from RNAcentral. Lineage: Eukaryota; Metazoa; Chordata; Aves; Passeriformes; Estrildidae.
GAUGUAAGCGGGCACUAGGUAUGGCAUAAGGGUGCACGGCAUGGGGUGAGUGUGCAUGGCGUACAGAGAAAGUGUGAGUGGAGAGCGUGAGCUCGUGUGGAGUGUUGAGGGUAUGGCUGUUCUCAAUCCCAAUGCCUGUGUGCGCUGGGUGUGGGGUUAGGAUCCUGUGCAUGGGGCAUAAAGCAAGUGUGUGCAUUGUGGUCAAGUGUGGACAGCAUGGAUUGAAUGUGAUUGAGGCAUAGGAUGAAUAGGCAGGGUAUGAGGGCAUGGGUAAGUGUUAAUGGGGAUGGAGAGAGUGCAGGGUGUGGAGUGUGUGGGGAGUGAGUGUACCAGCAGACAGGAAAUACAUGGGGCAUGGAGUGAGUGAACACGGGGAGAAAUGCAUAGCAUGGAGGAGGAGUGGGAGCGAGUGUCCCUGUGGCCUUGGGGUGUGCAGGGAAUGCUGGAGGCUCACAGAGGUAUCAGGGUGUGCACAGUGGGACUGGGGGUGCUGGCACGAGCUAUGGUUGUGCAGGAAGGCAUUCCUGAAGGUGCGAGGCAUGUGGGUGCCUGUCAGUGUGCACAGGAGUAUGAGCGUGAAUGGCACAUGCUGGGGGUGUAACUCUGUGUGUGUGGGCAUGGAGAAUGGCCAUGUACAUCCCAUGUGCCAGCCCCCUUUUGGGUUCCCCUGGCCCAAUGCCAGGAGAGCAGUGCUGCAGGGCCAGUGCCUGUGGAACAGUUAUGGAUGUGGUUCUGCUUUCCCUCAACAGGGCCACCAAGUACUCCCAGCCUCAUCCCAGGAGCUCUCCCAGACUGGCUGUGGGCCUACAGAUGUGACCAGAAAGCAGCACAGGAAGCGAACAGCCUGCUCUGGACAAGCACAAUCCUGGCCAUACUGCAGCCUUGGAGAGGCUGCUGGCCUCUGGGACCACCAGGGCCAGCCAGUCUGUGUGUGCAGGUGUGGGAAGAUGAGGCGGCUCUGAUGACACCCAGUGGGGCUGAAGGAGUGCAGGGCGGAGCUCUGGGGAAUUUUAAAGUGAGAGGAAGCUUGGAUGAGGAGAUGGUGGAGGAAGGGAAGGUUUGCUGGGAGCCCAUGCAGCCAUCCACUUACUCAGCUUUUGACAUCCUGAAGCACAGCUCUCCUCACUCCCCUGCCUGGCAGCACCCAUGGGACUGGAGCGACAGCUACGUGAGUCAGGGCUGGGUGUGGGGUCAGGGUGACCCUGCCUUUUGUGGCAGCAUUAGUCACCAUGCCAAACUUCCCCAGCCCAGCAGCGCUGGAGCCCCCAGCAUCACUGCCUUCUUGCUGGCUCAUACCCCACAAGCUGCCCGAGUUUGCUUGAUGUGACUCAGGCCCAGCCCCAUGGCCACUGGUCUGGCCCGGCCAGUCCUCCCGGCCACCAGGGCUGGGGCGCUGGCAGAGCCCGGGGCAGUGGCUGAGUGCCAGCACCAGCGCUCAGCCACGCCACCCUCACAUCGGGGUGGGAAGGCAGGACCUGGCCGCCUCUGGCCAUCCCUGGAGCAUCCUUGCAGUGAGGCAGAUCCUCCCUCUUCAUCUUCCUCCCAGCGCCUGGCAGAGGGUGUGGAUAGCAUCCCAUGGGGCUGGAGCAGGCCCCCAUGCACGCUGCCUCCCACACACCACGGGGACAGGCCGUGCUGGGGGACACCCCAUGGCAGAGCUGGUAUGACCACCAUGGGGGUACCCAGACCUUGCAUUGCCUUUGGCAGGGAGAGCAUGUCCCCAAAAGGGCCAGGCUGAUGGUUGAGGCAGCAGGGAGGAGGCUGGAUAAGACUGUCCAAGCACAUCUGUGCAGGGCUGCUCCAGGUGUCUCCUGUGGGGAGGGGUGCACAGCCACAAGGAUAGCUGGGAGGUGCUGGUCCCCAUGCAGAGUGAUCAGGGCAUGAAGCCACCUCAGCAAUCACUUUUCCUGCAGAUCUGCCUUCCAGGGGUAUGCAUAGGCAGAUCCCCCUCCCUAAGGAUGGAGGGUGGCUGCUGCCUUUGUUCAGGGUGAGUAAUGAGGCCAUGGAGUGGAAGAUGCUUGGAUAAGGUGAGAGGUUGGUAGUCAGAAACAACACCCAGGAGUGAGGGAGCUUCUGCUCUGCCCUUCUUCUGAGGGGGGAAGCUAAGGGAUGCCCUGGUGUCAGGCAGCCCCCUGACAGCCUCCAGAGCCCACUGCCCUCACAAACACUGCUUAGUGUGUGCCAGGCCAGCACAGCCAGUCCCACAAUGCUGGAGUUAUGCAGACAGAGCAAGGCCCAGACACCAGUGAUGGAGAGGGUCCAACAGGAAAAGGAAGUACACAGACCCCUCAUGUUCAUAGGCAGUGUCUCCAAAGAGCAUGUCUGGGGUCCUUGUGCAGCCCAUCUCCUGUCCCUCGAGAGAUCACACCACUCUGCACUCUGCUUUAGGUCCCAGCAUAUUCCCUUGCUUGAGUGCUCAGAGAUGCUGCAGCAGAGCUGGCCUGGACACCCCCUGUACCCAUGUGCCCCAUUCCAGAGGCAGCCACUGCACACGCUGGAGUCCCAGAAACAGGGCAGAGCCAGGAGGAGCUGGGUUGGGUCAGCAGAACCCCCAUGAUGGGCAGGGAUGAGCCAGGCCCUCCUGAGCAAGAUGGCAUUGCUGUGUGACAUCUGUCACUGAGAAAUGGAGUGAGGACAGAGCAGGACAGUUACAGGCAGCUCCCUGGAGGGAGCAGCAGAGCCUGGAGAAGGAGAGUUAGAGGCUCCCCGGGAGAGCAAAGCUGGGCAGGCAGGAGCCCUGGCCAGGACCCAGCUCUGCCGCUGGCCGGGCAGCCCCUGCUCAGCCACAAGCAGUGAGCCGGCAGCACAACCACAGGAAAAGGGUUUGACACGGUUUUUGGGUGCCACUGUCCAAGCCUGACCACUCAGCUUGGCUGAGCUGGUAUCCAGGUUUCUUGGCCUCCCCCUCUUAGGACUUACUUGCAUUACUGCAAACUUUCCUAAAGUGCUUCUUUUAUGGGGGCAAAAAUAUUCUAUUUUGGUCUCAGUCCAGAGAGAUUUUCUUUUUCAAAUUCGAUUGAAUUAAUCUGUCCAGCUGUUUUCAGCUUGGGAAAUUGAAGGGAAAACUACAUUCUUCCCAUUUGGAAAGAAAAUGUAAAAAAAAAAAAAAAAAAA